Molecule: ribosomal RNA, 253 nt
Filed under: uncultured bacterium
Lineage: Bacteria
Also listed under: 1 other name
Description: partial 16S ribosomal RNA
Rfam family: Bacterial small subunit ribosomal RNA
Source: RNAcentral
UACAGAGGGUGCAAGCGUUGUUCGGAAUUAUUGGGCGUAAAGCGCGUGUAGGCGGCUUGGCAAGUCGGGUGUGAAAUCCCUCAGCUUAACUGAGGAAGUGCGCCCGAAACUGCCGAGCUUGAGUACCGGAGAGGGUGGCGGAAUUCCCCAAGUAGAGGUGAAAUUCGUAGAUAUGGGGAGGAACACCGGUGGCGAAGGCGGCCACCUGGACGGAUACUGACGCUGAGACGCGAAAGCGUGGGGAGCAAACAGG